Long non-coding RNA from Ficedula albicollis (Collared flycatcher), 3946 nucleotides. The record is from Ensembl. NCBI's taxonomy places the organism in Eukaryota, Metazoa, Chordata, Aves, Passeriformes, Muscicapidae.
GUAUUUACUUCUUAAGCCUUAUAAAUGUGCCUUUCCCUGGUAAGUAGAGAUUCAGUGAUGUGCUUUAUUGUUUUUUUCAGCUUUCCCAGCAGGAAGAUCGGCCUCUUUACAUGGGAAGACCUCUGGCUGUGGUGUUUGCAUUUCAGAGCCUUUCCACCUGUUUUUCAUAUGCUAUGUGAAACAGAUCAGCAACAUGAAACUAACUCUAGACACCAUAUGAGGUCAAGGAUCUUUGUACUCUCAGACUGGUAAAUGCUUUUGUAAAGCAUUUAAAAUCAAAAUACUCUGGACACAUAAAGGAAGCAGAUUUACAUCUUCCUGGAAAUAAGAGCAGAAGUGACCACUCACUGUUGCCAAGAAUGUUCUGCCUUUUUCAAAAGAACUUCUCAAGGAGGCCAGGUACUCUCAUUUGAGUCCUUCAGCACAAUGUUCUGCCUUUUUCAAAAGAACUUCUCAAAGAGCCCAGGUACUCUCAUUUGAGUCCUUCAGCAUGGAUUCCAUGUCCCAUACAAAUUUCCUAUCCUAUUUUAUGUGUGUCUGUUUCUGCUGUUCUUAUCCACUGCUGGCGCCUUCUUUAUCAUACAGUGUGUUAUUUUUUUUUAAAUUGUCAGACUGUGGGUAUAAGUUACCAUAGUAGAAUGAGCCUGAGCCAUUUAGGAAGUGCUUCUGUCUCUUCUGGCUCAUCUUUUUCCUUCCAUCCCAGCAAUGGCACACAGGAAGCAGGUAGGGCUAAAGGCAAGGAUAACAGCUGCCUCAACUGUGAAACACUGGUCUGUUUGUAUUCAUGAGUUAUACACCAGUUCAGUCAAGGAAAAGUUCCAAGUAAGUAUCACUAAAUAUUAAAAGGACAAUGGGAAAGUCUGGUUGAACCACUCAGAUGUCUCCAUCUGGAUGUCUCAGAAUUAUUCCUUUGCAGGUGAACCUAUUUGUAUGAGAAAUACCCUCAGGUCCUCGAGUUACGAAUUUUCUCAAGAUGUGUUAACUGUGAAUUUUCUGAGGAUUGCAAUCUUUCUUGAAAAGUUUAUAUGAAAGGUUUGGAUUUGUGUUUUUUCUGCAUCUACAGAAAUGUCAUAAUCUGUUCUAACAAAUCAGCUUCCUGGGAGCUUUACAGCUAUUCAGGUUAGUUUCAUGUAAGUCCUGAGGCAUAUUGCCAUCAGAUAAAUAAACCAACAAUACUGAAACAAGGCAUUUGAAUAUUGCACUUGGAAACAAAACAUUUUAUAUAUUGAAAUACGUAUGUAAUUUUAUUUAAUAGAACAUUAUUGUGAUUAUAGGUAAAGGUGUCCAAUAGGGUGAAACAAAGGCUUGAAAGUGUUUUUUAUUUAACUGUUUGCUUAUGGUGUGGUUGGUAUAAAUUGCUUUUGUUAGUUUAUUAACAAGGGUGGGGAGAGGCAAAGUACUGGGAGAUGAAUUUAAAUCCAGCUCAGGAGAAUUAGACACAAGAGAGCAACUCCAAGAUGUCUGGCACAUAUCAGCAUUUUAUUUGAUUGUAACAAAAAUUUUGCACAUGUAUUCAUAAAACACAUUUGCUUUCCUUUUAAGUUUCACAGUUUGUUCUUUUUGUUAAAACCUGUGGUAGGUCAGAAUUAGUGCUGGCAAUUUCCUUUGCUUAUGACCUCCAAUAUACUCUUAAAACCCAAGUAGAUGCCUUUUUAAAAAGGGGCUUGAGGCUCUUCUAAGCAGCAUUAAGAUGACACAGAGAUGACACAAGAAAAAACACUUCAAAUUCUUAAUACAAAUCUAUAUUUGUAAAAAAAUGCAGUGAUUACAGGAAUGUAAAAGAACCUAAAUCAGAUUUUUAAAAAACUAUUUAGUAUCACUCAGGGUUUUCUAGUCAAUGUUUCUCCAUUUUGACAGAGAGGAAGGAACAUGAUGAUCCCUUCUUUUAAGUAGGAUUUUGGAGUUGAUAAGCUGGUUGCUUGCUUUCUGUAUUUAAAGGUGGUAGAAGGACUUGUCAGUGAUCUUGGCAUGAGCCUCAGGGAUUUGUGCAUCUGGGACAUCUCUGUGUAAAGCAUUUGUGUUCUCAGACAUCUUGAAGGCAUUUUCAUACUACAGAGUUAUAUUCUUGGAGAUCUUCUGGCACUUAUGUCAGUUUAUCAUGAUCUGUACAGAAGUCUUAAGUUUUGAUUUUGGAAGUAUUUUCUUGAAAUAAGUAAAAAAUCAUGGACUGUAGCAGUGUAGGAACAAGCUCUAAGGAUUUCUCCCUCUGUGAUGGACACAGGGCUGUAUUCUCUAUCCCAUGCUUCUGAGCCCCAGUAAGUGUUCAUUUGAGUCCCACAAAGGCCCCCAGACUCAGAGCAAAGCAGGGACCAAAGGCAUCAAAGGCCUUUUUGUCAAAAUAAGGACAAUGCUAUAAACCAACCUUGUGUUAACCUAGUGAGGAACAGAGGACAAGAAUUCUGAAUGCCAAAAUACAGAGACAUGUGUGAAAGGGAAAACUUAUACAAAAGUAGGCAGGCUGAAUAAAACUAUUUAUCUUUAAGCCACACAAGUCAUGGUAAUUAAAUUAGGUCAGCCUGGCUAUAAAGCUACAAAAAGCAGGCUGUAACUAAUUUAGAAAGAGACAGAGAAGACCUGAAAAGAAAACAGAUUGACAGCCCCCUAUUACUUUUUAUCUAAUCAAGACAACAAAAUGUAAGAAAGGGAAAAAGAAAAAAAAAAAAGGAAAAUAUAAAGAAAUCUUAUGUUGAUUUAUUAAGGUUUUCUCUCAUAUCAUUAGGAUAGACAAAAGCACAUAGUCACAUUUUUGAUGUGUGAAAGUUUGCACAUUGUUCUUAGUGCUAGCUGAAGAUUACAUGCAUAUUUUAACCUUGAGAAAAACAGAAUAAUUGAAUACCCUAAAGAUCAGAAAGUGGUGGAAACUCAAGAAAGAAUAACACAAUCAGAUCUUUAUCAUUACAGUAUCAUUGCACUAAUUCUUUCUGGGCAUCCAUAUCAUCUGCUUCUAAGUGAAGAGAAAUCCUAAAUAUCUGUGAAAAGAGACAAAUAGACUUUUAUUUAAAACCAUUUUUUAGUAAAUUCCACCUGCCAGUUUGUAUAAACAUCCUUUUUUGAAAAUGAUUUCAAGUAUUUGCUUUGAAUUUGAAAGUGACAGGUUGUAUAGGGUAUAGGAAAUAACAUUUUUGAACUUUAGGAAGGGAAGGAUCAGGACUUUAUUUGUGGUGUGGAUCCAGUCUCAUUGAACAAGGUUUAAAAUAAUAUUUUAGUUGAUUUCUGUAAUAGUGUUCAUUAGAAAAAUUAGCAUUCUAAGACUGUCUGAAGGGUGAAGAGGAGUGUGUGAACAGAAAGGGGGAAGGGCACAGACAAAAAGCCCGGCUUGGUUUGUGUUGGUGUUUAAUAGCAAACAACCCUUUCUCACCCUGCUUCUCUUUUAUGCCUGUUGUAGUUUUAAGUAACUUCCGAAGGUUUUCCAGCAGCAGAUGACGCUCAGCUAUUACAUUCAUCUGAAAUAAGAGACGAACUUUGCCCUGUGAAGAAAAUAUUUGAGGUUUCAACACAAUUAAGGGUGGCAAAUUCUGUGUGAAAAUGGAAAUUCCUUCCCAUUUUUCCAAUAGGUCCCCGAGGGUGAAGUUUUGACCCCGGUGAAGUUAAUGGAACCUUCAUCCUCUUUCAUUAUGACGAGACAUCCCUCAUCACAUCUUGCACUUGCAACAAUGAAACGUGGAAAGCAAAGGAGAAACUGUUUCCUUGGGUAUUGCCAUGUGGUAACACCUUUUCCAGACAAUGACAGAGGCUUUGAGAGAUGAUCAGAAAAGAGACACAAAAAUGCAGGAAGUCAGAAGGGGAGCAGGCAGGGAAACAGCAACAUGGAGCAUUUCUCCUCUGCUGCAGGAAAAUAUGCGAGAGACAUCCCUCAUCACAUCUUGCACUUGCAACAAUGAAACGUGGAAAGGAAAGGAGAAACUGUUUCCUUGGGUAUUGCCAUGCGGUAACACCUUUUCCAGAC